UACAGUAAUGAUAUUCUAGUUAAUUCCACACUGACUGAAAUGAUUGAUUCAGUAAGUGUGGAAGAACUUGACUGGUCUGUAAUUCCAGCUGAACACCUCUGGUGUGUUUAAAUACAGACCUUGAGCCAAAAACUUAAAAUCAAACAUCAUUAUAUGCUUAAACAUUGAGAUUUAUACUAAUGGAAAUGACUAAAGUAAUCAAACCUGUUCUUUAUAAGGGGGUGUCCCAAUACACACACCAAAUAUAUGUCUCAUGAUUUUGUGAAGUUUUGAUAAGCCCACAUCAUGCACUCAUCCCUUCCUUCCCUUCACUAGGCUGCUUAACAGGUGCUUCGGAUUUUUCAGACGUGCACUAAUUGUAGACAUAGGAUCUUAUAUGUUUCAGGUGAUUGAAGUGAACCGGAUUUUUCGACACACAGUGGUGUGUUGCGUAUGCAAAACGGUCUCAUCGAAUGGCGUUUAAAGAGAAACAAUUCCCGACGUGUUUUCUUUGCAUUUGGCUUGGCUUUAUUAAAGUUAGUGGUUUUGUGAUAUUUAAUGAGGGAAAAGGUGUUGAUUCAGCCGGCUCUUUUAAUAAAAGUGCACGGACAAGCGAGUCAUUUGAUCGAGGUGACGAGAAGCUGAAACCUGGAGCACAUGUCGGGCGCCUUCUUAUUUGGCAAGACCAAGCUUCAGAAUCACAGGGUGGUGAGAGUGUCCGUGUUUCGUCGGAGCUCAGUUCAUGCAGUCAACCCGAUGAGGACGCAUACCAAUCAGAUUAUUCAGGCUGGAUGAAACCACAAUCUCUUUGGGGACAGGUUUACAGUCUAAACAAAUCUCCAUACACCAACAGUGGAAAGGCUACUUGGAAUGACACCCAAGGUGAAUUGUGAUGGAGAUUCAAUGACGUUGACAAUUCAUGAAGCGUCCCACCAAUUCCAUUGUCACAGUUGCCCUCAGAAUGUGGCCAUAGGUUCUUGAGAACUUGGAGAGACUUUGUUUUAAUUAUACCAUAUGAUGGAUGUUAUGUAAUGCAUGAGGUUUGCAUUUAUAUUUUAAUGUAAAUCAAGUAUAGCGCAUAUUAUCCUUUCUGACCAUUCCCCUUGUGGUUUCAGAAAGACACUUUUGAUCUUCCCUUACUUUGGUUGGGGAUUGCAUGUCAAAAUGUCUUGUUCCUUACUGA
This is a long non-coding RNA of Carassius auratus (goldfish), 1162 nucleotides long. RefSeq lists it as uncharacterized. The record is from RefSeq and is a predicted model, not a curated record. NCBI's taxonomy places the organism in Eukaryota, Metazoa, Chordata, Actinopteri, Cypriniformes, Cyprinidae. The transcript is spliced from 3 exons.